AUUGAACGCUGGCGGCAGGCCUAACACAUGCAAGUCGAACGAGAGGCGGACGGGUGAGUAAUGUAUGGGAAACUGCCCGAUGGAGGGGGAUAACUAAUGGAAACGGUGGCUAAUACCGCAUACUAUCGGAUGCACCCAGAUGGGAUUAGCUAGUAGGUGGGGUACAGGCUCACCUAGGCAACGAUCCCUAGCUGGUCUCAGAGGAUGAUCAGCCACACUGGAACUGAGACACGGCCCAGACUCCUACGGGAGGAAGCAGUGGGGAAUAUUGCACAAUGGGCGCAAGCCUGAUGCAGCCAUGCCGCGUGUAUGAAGAAGGCCUUAGGGUUGUAAAGUACUUUCAGCGGGGAGGCGUUACCCGCAGAAGAAGCACCGGCUAACUCCGUGCCAGCAGCCGCGGUAAUAC
Molecule: ribosomal RNA, 406 nt
Filed under: uncultured bacterium
Lineage: Bacteria
Description: partial 16S ribosomal RNA
Rfam family: Bacterial small subunit ribosomal RNA
Source: RNAcentral